RNAcentral lists this transfer RNA (76 nucleotides) under Mesorhizobium sp. RNAcentral's name for it is "tRNA-Thr". It matches the Rfam family "tRNA". Rfam says of the family: Transfer RNA (tRNA) molecules are approximately 80 nucleotides in length. Their secondary structure includes four short double-helical elements and three loops (D, anti-codon, and T loops). Further hydrogen bonds mediate the characteristic L-shaped molecular structure. tRNAs have two regions of fundamental functional importance: the anti-codon, which is responsible for specific mRNA codon recognition, and the 3' end, to which the tRNAs corresponding amino acid is attached (by aminoacyl-tRNA synthetases). tRNAs cope with the degeneracy of the genetic code in two manners: having more than one tRNA (with a specific anti-codon) for a particular amino acid; and 'wobble' base-pairing, i.e. permitting non-standard base-pairing at the 3rd anti-codon position. The record is from RNAcentral. RNAcentral also lists the same sequence under 1 other name. Lineage: Bacteria; Pseudomonadati; Pseudomonadota; Alphaproteobacteria; Hyphomicrobiales; Phyllobacteriaceae.
GCCGGCAUAGCUCAGCAGGUAGAGCGGUGCUUUUGUAAAGCGAUGGUCGUUGGUUCAAUUCCGACUGCCGGCUCCA